Molecule: ribosomal RNA, 407 nt
Filed under: uncultured bacterium
Lineage: Bacteria
Description: bacterial SSU rRNA
Rfam family: Bacterial small subunit ribosomal RNA
Source: RNAcentral
UGGGGAAUAUUGGGCAAUGGGCGAAAGCCUGACCCAGCAACGCCGCGUGAAGGAAGAAGGCCUUCGGGUUGUAAACUUCUUUGAUCGGGGACGAAACAAAUGACGGUACCCGAAAAACAAGCCACGGCUAACUACGUGCCAGCAGCCGCGGUAAUACGUAGGUGGCAAGCGUUAUCCGGAUUUACUGGGUGUAAAGGGCGUGUAGGCGGUUCAUCAAGUCGGAUGUGAAAUUCCCGGGCUUAACCCGGUAGCUGCACCCGAAACUGAAGAACUUGAGUAUUGGAGAGGACAGCGGAAUUCCUAGUGUAGCGGUAAAAUGCGUAGAUAUUAGGAGGAACACCGGUGGCGAAGGCGGCUGUCUGGACAAUAACUGACGCUGAGGCGCGAAAGCGUGGGGAGCAAACAGG